UACAGAGGGGGCAAGCGUUGUUCGGAAUUACUGGGCAUAAAGGGUGCGUAGGUGGCUUGCUAAGUCAGUGGUGAAAUCGUCCGGCCCAACCGGACACGUGCCAAUGAUACUGGCGAGCUCGAGUGCGUGAGGGGUAGGGGGAACGAGCAGUGUAGCGGUGAAAUGCGUAGAUAUUGCUCGGAAGGCCAAAGCCGAAGGGACCCUACUGGUGCGCAACUGACACUGAGGCACGAAAGCGUGGGGAGCAAACAGG
Molecule: ribosomal RNA, 253 nt
Filed under: uncultured bacterium
Lineage: Bacteria
Description: partial 16S ribosomal RNA
Rfam family: Bacterial small subunit ribosomal RNA
Source: RNAcentral